AUGAAGGGUAUAUUAACAACCCUGAGUUUCCUUAUAAAAACUUAAACAUUAAAAAAAUUGAAAAGAUUAGUAAAAAUAGUAGUAUGGCACAUAAUAAAAAUUCAAAUGAACAAGAAAAAAAUAUUUCAAAACCAUCUAAUUUGCUAAAUAUGACAAGCUUUUUAACUAGAAAAUUAAGUGGGUCCAAAAAUUUUAUAGAACGAAAUAUAGAAAAAAUAUCAAUUUUUAAUAAAAAAAAUGACGCUCCUGAAAAAAAUAAACCAACAAACGAUAAGAGUGCUGACACACACAGCGGUUUACAAAGAAAUACUAAUAAGCAUAGUAGUCAUAUUAAUAGUAAUAUUAAUAGUAAUAAUAACAGUGUUAAUAACAGUGUUAAUAACAAUGUUAAUAACAGUGUUAAUAACAAUGUUAUGAACAACGCUGUAAACAAUGUUAAUAACAAUACGAAGAACUUAAAAAACAAACUAAGCAAUGUUGAAAAUAUUACUCUAUUAAAGAAUAAAAACACAGAUACCAAAGUAUACAACAAUAAAAGAAGAAGCCAUACCGAAAUCAUAGGGAAACCUGUGUUUACUGACAUAAAAAAUAAAAACACAUAUAAUAAUAAAGUAAAAAAUAAAUGUGAAGAGACAGAAACGGUAAAAAGUAUGAAGCGUGCCAAUACUGCUAAAAUAAAUAUUAAUGCUAGUAUUAAAGGUUUAAACAAGUUGCCAAAUGCUAAAAAUGUACCAACUGGUGUGGCAAAAGGUGGGAUCAAAAGUGUGCCAAAAAAUCUGGACGCUAAUAUGGCUACUAAUAUGGCUACUAAUGUGGUUACUAAUUUGGUUACUAAUGUGGCUAAUAAUAUGGCUAAUAAUAUGGCUAAUAAUAUGGCUAAUAAUAUGGCUAAUAAUAUGGCUACUAAUGUGGCUACUAAUGUGGCUACUAAUGUGGCUACUAAUGUGAUCACUGAUACAGUGUCUAAUGCAGUGUCCAAUGCGGGUACACAUACAUAUAAAAAAUAUAUCAGUAAAAAUUUAAGUGCUAAUACUACGAAUGCACAUUUAAACAAAAAUAAAUUAAAUGAUGUUAGGAGUGUAGGGAAAGACAUAAAAAAUAACAAAAAGGGAUUACAUACAAAAUCCAAUGUACAAAAAAUUGUAGUAAAUAAAAAAAACGAAAUAAAAAAUAAUAAAGAGAAUAUUUCUCGUUAUGUUAAUGACAAGACAAAAAAGGAUAUACAAAAUAUGUAUAAUAAAAUAACCCCUCCCGAACAUAUAAAUAUAACCAAAAAUGUUAUUUUAAAAGUAGAAAAUGAUUGUGAUGUUAUUGAAGUAGAUUACUUAGGUGAUGGAAGAGGUUUGUUUAAACAGGUGGAAGUAGAAAGAGAAAGGGGUGAAAAGUCGACACACUUAGAAAAAAAUAAUACAAAUGUUGGUCCAGAAAACAUAAACAAACCGAACGAAACGUCUAAUAAAAUAUUUUUAUAUAAAGAAAAAAAAGAAACUGAAAGAAUGAAUAAUAUAAAGAGUAAAAUAAAUAUACAUAAUGGAAACGAAUUAUCGUUAAUUAAAACUGAACCAAACAACUUGGGUGUUUUAUGUUAUGAUUUAAUUAGUUAUGAAAAUAAAUUUAAACAACAAAAACAUAAUGAUGAAACAGAUAAAGUAAAAAAAAACGGUCUCAAUAAUUAUGAUAACUGUAUGGAAAUUUAUAGUAUAGAUGACGAUGAUAAAGUAGAAGAAGAAAUAAAAGGAAAUGCACAAAAUAUAAAUGAGUUACAUUUUAAGAAUAUACAUAAUGACACCAAAAAUUAUAUGAAUUAUAAAAACAUAAAUGGGAACUUAAAUACAAUAAAAUCUUUCGAUGAUAAUGGUAUGGAUACAGUGAGAGAAAAAAAUAAAGAAACUAUUUCACCAGAGCAAAUUCGCAAAAAAUAUAGUAUUAAACAUGAGCAAAUGUAUGAAGAAAAUGAUUCGAAAAAUGUUCCACUUAAUAAUACAAUCGAUAGACAUUAUAUUUCAAACGAUACGUAUAACAAUUUAAGUAACAAUAUGGACGAAGAUAAAGAAGGUGGUUUGGAUCAUAAUGUAGUUUUACAACAUAAUAAAAAAUGUAUUUUGGAAAUUAAAAAAGAGAUAUGUAACGAUGGUAAUAAAGCUAAUUACAACGACAAUGAAGGUGAUAAUGAAAAUGGAGAUGGAGAUGGAGCUGGAGAUGGAGAUGGAAAUGGAGAUGGAGAUGGAGAUGGAGAUGGAGAUGGAGAUGGAGAUGGAAAUGGAAAUGAAAAUGAAAAUGUAAACGUAAGCUAUAAUGAAAACGUAAACGUAAACUAUAAUGAAAACGUAAACGUAAACUAUAAUGAAAACGUAAAAGAUAAUAAAAGCAAUAACGAUAACGACACGAGUAAUAAUAAUCACAAAUCAAUAAAUGUUUUCUCGAAUAUUACUAAACAGUAUGAAAACAUAAAUAAGUUAAAUUGCAAUGAUUACUCAAAGGAGCUUCAAUCAAAUAGGCUUAUUAACAACAAUUUUGAUAAUAACAUUUAUAACAAUAAUAGAGUUAACGGUUUAGUUAAAUCGUUAAGUAAAGAAAGUUAUACAUAUGAGAGAGGUGGUGAUAUGCAUAUGCGAACUAAACCUUACCCAAACUUAAGUGUCUUCAUUAAAACAGAUAGUAAUAAUUAUAACAAUAAUGCAUAUGAACAUAUAGAAAACAAACAAUAUCCUAAUUUAAGUGUUUUUAUUAAAAAUGAUAGUAACGACUAUAACGAAGAAGAAAGACAAGAUUUUCCUUAUGGUUUUAAAAAUGGUAACAUAUUUGAUAAUGAUAAUACUAAUAAUGAAAAUGACACGUCAUACUAUAGAAAAUACACAAAAGUUGUAAAACAAGAAGAACCUGAUAUUGAUGAUAAUAAUAAAAGUAUUAAUAAAAAUAAUAAUAUCAUGUUUAAUAAUAAUAAUAAUAAUAAUAAUAAUAAUAAUUAUAAUUUUAUCCAUUUAGAAACACACGAUAUUUCAAGUUCAAGAAAAGCAGAGUAUGGUCUAUCAGAAAGUGUUUAUUCUUUAUCAGGAAUGUACUCAUCGAUAGAAAAGGAAAAUAUAAAUUUCAAUAAGAACAAUGUGUUAGAAAGUGAAGAUGUUUACUACGCUGAAAGAAGAAAUGAUUUAAUCAAUAGUAGGAGGGGAGGUUAUUUGAGCAAAAAUGAAGAACAUAGUUUCGAAGAAAAAGAAGAUGAGUGGGGCGAAGAUGGAAAAACAGAAGAAAGUGAAUACAUUGCAGAUGAUACAAAUCAGGACAAUAACAGAAAAAAGGACUAUUCUCAAAAAUAUAAAGAAGAAUAUUAUCAUAAUAAAGAUGGAAAAGCAAAUUAUGACCAAGAAUAUAUUUUAAAGGUUGAAGGGGAUGAUAAUACCAUUUGUUAUGAGAGCAUAAACGAAGGGAAAGAUGAAGGCAAUGACGAAGUGAAAGAUGAAAGUAAUAACGAAGGCAAUAACGAAGGCAAUAACGAAGGCAAUGACGAAGGCAAUGUCGAAGGUAAUGGCGAAAAUAUGAACAAGUCUCAAUUUUUAUACAGCUCGGACGAUAUGUACCAUGAAGAUGCAAUAAAAAUGUACAACAAGAACUUGUCUUUUGAAGAAAGUGAUAACAAAAAGAAUAACAAACUUAUUAAUAAA
This 3659-nucleotide long non-coding RNA is filed under the name Piliocolobus tephrosceles (Ugandan red Colobus). Its description in RNAcentral is "lncRNA (ENSPTEG00000010159.1)". The record is from RNAcentral. Lineage: Eukaryota; Metazoa; Chordata; Mammalia; Primates; Cercopithecidae.